UACAGAGGUCUCAAGCGUUGUUCGGAUUCAUUGGGCGUAAAGGGUGCGUAGGUGGCGAGGUUAGUCAGGUGUGAAAUCUCGGGACUCAACCCCGAAACUGCACUUGAUACUGCCUUGCUAGAGUACUGGAGAGGAGAUUGGAAUUUACGGUGUAGCAGUGAAAUGCGUAGAUAUCGUAAGGAAGACCAGUGGCGAAGGCGAAUCUCUGGACAGUUACUGACACUGAGGCACGAAGGCCAGGGGAGCAAACGGG
This 253-nucleotide ribosomal RNA is filed under the name uncultured bacterium. RNAcentral describes it as "partial 16S ribosomal RNA". It matches the Rfam family "Bacterial small subunit ribosomal RNA", at positions 524 to 776 of the family's 1533-position model. The record is from RNAcentral.